AAAUUUGUCGAAAAGUAGAGACUCCAUUGGGCUUCUUAUUAACGAGAGAGGCCUUAGGCUUCUUCGUUUUGUAAACCCUAGGCUUCUUUGUUUGAAACCCUUGAUUCUGUUCAAAGAACUUGAUCUCAGCAACAACAGAUUUACAUUUUGAUAUUCUCUGUCCAUACACAGAUUAAAGAAAACGAAAAAAAAAAACAAUAGUUGGAGUCUUGUCCACGAAACUCACACAACUUGUUUGAAAGUGCAUAAACG
Molecule: long non-coding RNA, 252 nt
Filed under: Capsella rubella
Lineage: Eukaryota; Viridiplantae; Streptophyta; Magnoliopsida; Brassicales; Brassicaceae
Description: long non-coding RNA (CRUB_LNC002069)
Source: RNAcentral